Molecule: ribosomal RNA, 717 nt
Filed under: uncultured soil bacterium
Lineage: Bacteria
Description: bacterial SSU rRNA
Rfam family: Bacterial small subunit ribosomal RNA
Source: RNAcentral
GAACGCUAGCGGCAGGCUUAAUACAUGCAAGUCGAGGGGCAGCGCAGUGUAGCAAUACAUGGGCGGCGACCGGCAAACGGGUGCGGAACACGUACGCAACCUUCCUUUAAGUGAGAGAUAGCCCGGGGAAACCCGGAUUAAUACCUCGUAAUAAUGUGGUGUGGCAUCAUACUACAUUUAUAGCUCAGGCGCUUAAAGAUGGGCGUGCGGCUGAUUAGGUAGUUGGCGGGGUAACAGCUCACCAAGCCUACGAUCAGUAACUGGUGUGAGAGCACGACCAGUCACACGGGCACUGAGACACGGGCCCGACUCCUACGGGAGGCAGCAGUAAGGAAUAUUGGUCAAUGGACGCAAGUCUGAACCAGCCAUGCCGCGUGGAGGAUGAAGGUCCUCUGGAUUGUAAACUUCUUUUAUCUGAGAAGAAACCCUUGUAUUCUUACGAGGUUGACGGUACCAGAUGAAUAAGCACCGGCUAACUCCGUGCCAGCAGCCGCGGUAAUACGGAGGGUGCAAGCGUUAUCCGGAUUCACUGGGUUUAAAGGGUGCGUAGGUGGGCUAGUAAGUCCGUGGCGAAAUCUCCAAGCUUAACUUGGAAACUGCCGUGGAUACUAUUAGUCUUGAAUAUUGUGGAGGUAAGCGGAAUAUGUCAUGUAGCGGUGAAAUGCUUAGAUAUGACAUAGAACACCGAUAGCGAAGGCAGCUUACUACACAAUCAUU